GAGGCUCCAGGCUCCUUCAGGGCAGAAUGGUAGAGCAGGCCAAGCAUGGAAUCUUCCUCCAAAGACCUACCUCCUCACAGACAGGGGAAGAGGGAGGAGUCCCUUCAAGUGCUCCUAGAUGCCUAAGUCCUUGGAGAGGGAAAGAACCAGGAAUGUAGGAGAGAAAUCACAUGGGGGCCCGUGUGUGUAUGCAGAAGGACAUCGUCCAGAUGAUCAUCCCACGAACCUCAGAGGGCUGCACACAGAGAGAAUGUGGUUCUUAGCUCUGCAAAGAAAAAGGCCCGAGA
Long non-coding RNA from Mustela lutreola (European mink), 287 nucleotides. RefSeq lists it as uncharacterized. The transcript has 3 exons. The record is from RefSeq and is a predicted model, not a curated record. Lineage: Eukaryota; Metazoa; Chordata; Mammalia; Carnivora; Mustelidae.